AAGACUAUACUUUCAGGGAUCAUUUCUAUAGUUUGUUACUAUUUAUUUGCUUCUAGACAGAGGCGGAGCAAGACAGAAAGAAAGGGACCACAGCACCAAAGCUUCCUUUAGUGUAGUGGGGGCCGGGCUUG
This 131-nucleotide small nucleolar RNA is filed under the name Erinaceus europaeus (western European hedgehog). Its description in RNAcentral is "Small nucleolar RNA U3 (ENSEEUG00000022698.1)". The stretch from base 1 to 76 matches the Rfam family "Small nucleolar RNA U3". From Rfam's summary of the family: Small nucleolar RNAs (snoRNAs) are involved in the processing and modification of rRNA in the nucleolus. There are two main classes of snoRNAs: the box C/D class, and the box H/ACA class. U3 snoRNA is a member of the box C/D class. Lineage: Eukaryota; Metazoa; Chordata; Mammalia; Eulipotyphla; Erinaceidae. The record is from RNAcentral.